AAUGUUUUUUUGACAUUAGCGGAAUAUUGGAAAAGUUUUGUGCACAUUUGUAAUGGAAACGCUCUACCGACUCCACCGGAUUUCCUCAACCUUGUCUCAGUCUCAUGAGUCAGGACAGAAAACAGUCCAGUGAACUGUUUACAAGAAAGUGACCAGUGAUUAUAUGUCAGCAGAGACGUGUAGACUUUGCUUUCAGAGAUGGCGGUGGCUACGUCAUCCUUCUGUGUCACUAAGAGACACACCUGGCUCCAGGCGGAGGCUGGACGCUCCUCCAUCAGCCGCCCUGCACAGAGCAGGUCUUGUCACGGAGCUGUUGCAUCAGAGAUGGAGCCACGCCGCGACCGUCGCUGCCGCACAACGCCACGCUUUGUGUCAUCGGCAGCUGCGCUUUGAUGAGAGACGCUACUGAUGGCCUUCGUCUCUCUGAGGAGGAGAGAUUCCUGCAGCUACGCGGGAGGACGAACCUCCAAUUUGGCAAAGAGACACGAGAAACUGAGCUGAGAGGAAUUCACAAGCCAAACUCAAGUAAACGAGAUUCUUGUGUCUCAAAUAUUCCUAUAAAACAAGAAUGACAGUUUUUUUUCCACUCAGCAGUCACAUAGUUUGGGAUUUUAACAUCUUCAGCAUGAUGUUUUUUUUGCAGCUGUUAAAAGGCAAAUAAAGCAGCUCAAACCUU
This is a long non-coding RNA of Gambusia affinis (western mosquitofish), 676 nucleotides long. RefSeq lists it as uncharacterized. The record is from RefSeq and is a predicted model, not a curated record. NCBI's taxonomy places the organism in Eukaryota, Metazoa, Chordata, Actinopteri, Cyprinodontiformes, Poeciliidae. The transcript has 2 exons.